RNAcentral lists this ribosomal RNA (258 nucleotides) under uncultured prokaryote. Its description in RNAcentral is "partial 16S ribosomal RNA". It matches the Rfam family "Bacterial small subunit ribosomal RNA", at positions 524 to 780 of the family's 1533-position model. The record is from RNAcentral.
UACGGAGGAUCCGAGCGUUAUCCGGAUUUAUUGGGUUUAAAGGGUGCGCAGGCGGAAGAUUAAGUCGGUGGUGAAAGUCUGUCGCUUAACGGUAGGAUUGCCAUUGAUACUGUUAGACUUGAAUAUGGAUGAGGUAGGCGGAAUGUGUAGUGUAGCGGUGAAAUGCAUAGAUAUUACACAGAACACCGAUUGCGAAGGCAGCUUACUAAUCCAUCAUUGACGCUGAGGCACGAAAGCGUGGGGAGUCAAACAGGAUUA